This 496-nucleotide ribosomal RNA is filed under the name uncultured bacterium. RNAcentral describes it as "partial 16S ribosomal RNA". It matches the Rfam family "Bacterial small subunit ribosomal RNA", at positions 28 to 506 of the family's 1533-position model. The record is from RNAcentral.
GAUGAACGCUGGCGGCGUGCCUAAUACAUGCAAGUCGAGCGAACGGACGAGAAGCUUGCUUCUCUGAUGUUAGCGGCGGACGGGUGAGUAACACGUGGAUAACCUACCUAUAAGACUGGGAUAACUUCGGGAAACCGGAGCUAAUACCGGAUAAUAUUUUGAACCGCAUGGUUCAAAAGUGAAAGACGGUCUUGCUGUCACUUAUAGAUGGAUCCGCGCUGCAUUAGCUAGUUGGUAAGGUAACGGCUUACCAAGGCAACGAUGCAUAGCCGACCUGAGAGGGGGACGGGCCACGCUGGAAGUGAGCCGCGGCCCAGGCUCCGAGGGGAGGCAGAGAUGGGGAAUCUUCCGCAAUGGGGGAAACCUUGAAGGACGACCGCCCGGUGGGUGAAGAGGGUCUGCGGAUGGGAAAACUCUUUUAUUGGGGAAAAACAUUUUUGUAAGGAACGGUGCAAAUUUGACGGGUCCCUAAGCAGAAAGCCCCGGUAAACUCGGG